CAAAUUACCCAAUCCCGACACGGGGAGGUAGUGACAAUAAAUACUGAUACAGGGCUCUUUUGGGUCUUGUAAUUGGAAUGAGUACAAUUUAAAUCCCUUAACGAGGAACAAUUGGAGGGCAAGUCUGGUGCCAGCAGCCGCGGUAAUUCCAGCUCCAAUAGCGUAUAUUAAAGUUGUUGCAGUUAAAAAGCUCGUAGUUGAACCUUGGGCCUGGCUGGCCGGUCCGCCUCACCGCGUGUACUGGUCCGGCCGGGCCUUUCCUUCUGGGGAACCUCAUGCCCUUCACUGGGCGUGUUGGGGAACCAGGACUUUUACUUUGAAAAAAUUAGAGUGUUCAAAGCAGGCCUUUGCUCGAAUACAUUAGCAUGGAAUAAUAGAAUAGGACGUGUGGUUCUAUUUUGUUGGUUUCUAGGACCGCCGUAAUGAUUAAUAGGGAUAGUCGGGGGCAUCAGUAUUCAAUCGUCAGAGGUGAAAUUCUUGGAUUGAUUGAAGACUAACUACUGCGAAAGCAUUUGCCAAGGAUGUUUUCAUUAAUCAGUGAACCGAAAGUUAGGGGAUCGAAGACGAUCAGAUACCGUCGUAGUCUUAACCAUAAACUAUGCCGACUAGGGAUCGGACGGUGUUAGUAUUUUGACCCGUUCGGCACCUUACGAGAAAUCAAAGUUUUUGGGUUCUGGGGGGAGUAUGGUCGCAAGGCUGAAACUUAAAGGAAUUGACGGAAGGGCACCACCAGGCGUGGAGCCUG
RNAcentral lists this ribosomal RNA (745 nucleotides) under uncultured marine eukaryote. RNAcentral's name for it is "SSU rRNA". It matches the Rfam family "Eukaryotic small subunit ribosomal RNA", at positions 437 to 1185 of the family's 1831-position model. The record is from RNAcentral.